This 497-nucleotide ribosomal RNA is filed under the name uncultured bacterium. RNAcentral describes it as "partial 16S ribosomal RNA". It matches the Rfam family "Bacterial small subunit ribosomal RNA", at positions 28 to 507 of the family's 1533-position model. The record is from RNAcentral.
GAUGAACGCUGGCGGCGUGCCUAAUACAUGCAAGUCGAGCGAACGGACGAGAAGCUUGCUUCUCUGAUGUUAGCGGCGGACGGGUGAGUAACACGUGGAUAACCUACCUAUAAGACUGGGAUAACUUCGUGAAACCGGAGCUAAUACCGGAUGAUAUUUUGAACCGCAUGGUUCAAAAGUGAAAGACGGUCUUGCUGUCACUUAUAGAUGGAUCCGCGCUGCAUUAGCUAGUUGGUAAGGUAACGGCUUACCAAGGCAACGAUGCAUAGCCGACCUGAGAGGGUGAUCGGCCACACUGGAACUGAGACACGGUCCAGACUCCUACGGGAGGCAGCAGUAGGGAAUCUUCCGCAAUGGGCGAGAGCCUGACGGAGCAACGCCGCGUGAGUGAUGAAGGUCUUCGGAUCGUAAAACUCUGUUAUUAGGGAAGAACAUAUGUGUAAGUAACUGUGCACAUCUUGACGGUACCUAAUCAGAAAGCCACGGCUAACUACGUG